AGUUGCCACUCUCUCUCUCUCACUCUCUCUCUCAUGCAUACGGACAUGCAAAUGCAUACAUGCAUGAAUUGUUGCCUUUUAGUUAUUGUGGCAUGGUUCUGGUCCCCUUGAUGCUUGCUUACCAUUUCAGAUUAAGCAUGACCUUGCUGAUGCUGACUACAAAAGAUAGUUUCUAAACUUUUACAUCUAUGAUGAUUUUCAAAGAAUCCUGUUUUAGUUCUUGAGCAUUUUGUUGUCACUUCUUGUCAGAUUGAACUUUAUUUUUUCUAAGACAAUUUUUCACUUUGUGUGCAUGUGCAGUGUGGAUGGUGGAAGACCAAGUAGUGCAAGUAUCUUUGUUGGUGGCUUUGUCUUGGGUGGAAUUGUUGUUGGAGCACUAGGUUGUAUAUAUGCACCCCAGAUCAGCAAGGCACUGGCAGGAGCAGACAGGAAAGAUUUGAUGAAAAAGCUG
Camellia sinensis is the source of this 451-nucleotide non-coding RNA. The record is from RefSeq and is a predicted model, not a curated record. Lineage: Eukaryota; Viridiplantae; Streptophyta; Magnoliopsida; Ericales; Theaceae.